GCUUAUGGCCCAUACCAUCCUGUCUAUGCCAGAUCAUGUCUGAGCUCGGAAGCUAAGCAGGUUUGGGCCUGGUUAGUAAUUGGAUGGGAGACCCCCUGGUAAUACCAGUUGCUUUAAGAU
This is a ribosomal RNA of Carassius auratus (goldfish), 120 nucleotides long. The record is from Ensembl. NCBI's taxonomy places the organism in Eukaryota, Metazoa, Chordata, Actinopteri, Cypriniformes, Cyprinidae.